UAUGUAGGUAUGCAUGCAUGUAUGUAGACAUGUAUGUGUGUAUGCAUACAAUAAUAAUAAUAACCAUCAGCUGUUUUCUCUUAUUCAACUAACAGCAGCGAUUAUUUAUUGGUUGAAGUGGUAGACAACGAAUACGACGCUACUAAAGUAUUUUGAAAACGAACUUUCGAAGCUUACGGUUGUCAAGGCAGUUUGUAUGUCGGCAUCUACUCAUCUAGCGUCAUUUGGCAUACUGAUUAAAGAACUACAUAUGUAUGUAUGUACAUAUGUAUUUUUUUAUGUUUCUCUUUCAACUUUUUUCAAGUUUUGUUUAACUAAUAUAAAUAAUUCAUAAGCCAAUAAUAGAAAAUACAGUUAUUCCGUUUAAAAAUAACACAGAAGUUAAAAGCAAAAAUAAUAUAUACAUAUGUAUAUGUACAUAUGUCAAGGCGAAUUAAGUACUAUAGGUUACAAAACAGUUACUGUAUUUUUCGCGAUUUUGACAAGUCUGACGAUAGGUCCCUUACCAAUUCAGAACAAACAAGAGGAAGAGCAAUUAAAUGUUUCUGAAAAUUCAUGGAAUGGCUUCUUAAUAUUGUGAUUUAUGAGAUUCAAACUAAACAAGCUAAUGAAACUGAAGUGCCGAGUGUUAAAAGUGUUGUAAAAGCUCAAAGUGAAUAUAAAGCCUCCAAAUACAGUUUUAUGCGAAUGAUGACGUGGCAAGAAAGUGUGUGUGUGUCGGUAUAAUUGCUUGUGAGUUUGGUUGCGUCCGUUGCUUUCGCCUACUCUUCCUCUUCACAAACAAGUAAUUCUCCUUCCUUUCCGAAGGCUCAAACUGGUAUUUUAUUAUCCUUGUUUGUAUGUACACUUCAAACACAGCUGUCAAGAAGGUCUUUUUACAUUUGCAGUUAAUAGCUUUAAGUUAUAAAAGUUUUAAAAAAUUAAACGUGGAUCAGUACUUCUGCUAGGUAUCUGAAUAUAAUUCGGAAAUUCAUCGAAAUUCCACAAUGAAACUUUCAGAUAUUACUGGGCGUGGUAGGGGAGAUCGGGGAUGGUUGACUAACUUUUGACUUAAGCUCAUGUAUCUCUGAUGUUUAAUUUAAUAUAUUUACAUAACAAAAACAACAAUUGCUACCGAUAAAAGAACUAUUCAGACUCUUUGGCGUGCAAUCAAUUGAAUUGAAUUGAACAGCUUAAAUUGUCGGUAUUUUUGACUUUGACAACUUUGCCGGCGUAAUUGGCAUAUCAACAUAUCGGCGGGCGGGCAUCUUUAUGAAAUUGCCAUGACGUGCUCGGUGGCGGCCGUGGCGGCAUUUAACAAAUUUGUGCAGAGCUAAUUAAUCAAACUCAAUCACAAUCACUGCGCGUCCCAACACACGCACAACACACACACACACACCGAAAAAGAUGCCACUUAAACAACAGCUACCAUGAGAACAACAACACCAAACACAAUUUCAAACUAUGACGGAUAGGUUUCAAAGCAGACGAACGAAAACACACACUUAGGGAGCAGCAGAAAUGAAGUUAGCACACCAUAAGCGAUUGUAUUAGGUCACAAAUCAUGCAACAUAAUCAUUUGACAUUACAACUGCCGCAACAGCCAACACAUAGGUACACACACUUGCAUACAGCCAGACAUAAUCAGUCACUCACCUACUGGCGGACGCAAUAUGAAGCGCUGGCUACCUUAAUAUGCAACGAAUGCAUUCCAACUCAUAAUGUGACGUCCAUCAUCCACAUUGAAGCAUUCAACAGCCGACAAAACGGGAACGCUUUCAAUCUGUGCGACCGUCUGCUGGCCUGCUUGUUUGUAUGUCCCUGUGUACGUGUGUCUCACUGUUCAUCCAACUGUAUGAUUAUAUGCUGCGCCAUGCAUGCAUGUCCGUCCCUUUGCAGUGCGCUUGCGUUCGCGCUCUUGCUUGAUGCGCCAAUGUUUAUUCAGUUGAAAUUAACUUGACUCACCUCAUCACCAGCGUACUCAGCAGCUACACAAUUACACAUAUAUGCACAUAUACACAAACUAGCAUAAAAACACACGCCGUCAUUUUAGCGUCCCAAAUGAGCCGUUUUUCAACGGUCUUUGGUGGCCAAGCACGUCUGCUCGCCCAUCCAUCCGCCCGCCACCGGAUCAACUAUUUAACUCUACCAGUCUCCAUCCCACACUCAGAUGGAACGCGUGCUGGCUUGCGGAUGGGGGCAAUGGUCGCACUGGGGGAUUUGCUAGAGAGCCACUCGAGUGCACACAAAACGGGCCCCAAGUACGGAUUUCAGCAUAACCACAAGAGCAGCUGCAACAAGCAUGCAAGUGUACAUACAUAUGAACAUACAGGCAUAAUGCAUACAUAUAAAUAUAAAUGUGUGUAUGUAUGAAUAUAUUUAGAAAAAGUGACUUUGGUGUGCGCAACAGCGUCAUCAUGAAGAUCCGUUCAGGAAUAAAGUAACAAUAUCCUUUUUUCUUCAGCUUGUUCGCCAGAUGGAGUGUGUUGCUCAACACUGGCGUAUGUUAGCUUGCGGUGUACGUGACUUGUCGUUCGGUAGCUCCUCUCGAGCCAACAUUGAAUACCGAGCAAAUGAAGCUGAAGAAGCCAGUGAAGCCAACAGAAACGCUGUCGCCGCAGAUUACUAUUGCCUUCUUUGCUGUUGUUGUUGUUGCGUAGUUGUUUUUUUUUUUCUUUCUUGCUGCCAAUUCCAGGCGAACCCCUAAUGCCGGCGGGAAAUUGAAAUAGCAUUGAAAUUGUAUACAGUUUGUGCUUUUAUGUAUGACAGUUGACUAUUUCGUUUCUAUUUGUUUUUUUAUUUUCGUUUUGUUAUUCCGGGUGUUCGCCCCUCACCUCAUUUUCCCUUUUAUGGAUGUAAUGUGAGUAUCUUAAACGAAGUGGCAUGCAAAGCCGAGCCAUAUUCGCCAAUGAGACGGCAUAGGGCGCAAAGUAACGCGGCGCAUACGAAAAGUCGAGCAACGAAGGGUCCACUGCAAGUCCUUCGCAGAGACAAAUUAAUGCGAAUGUGUACACAUAUUACAUACGCGUACAUAUGUAUAGAUGUUUGUAGGUAGUAUUGUAUAUAUGUAAGAACUGUUGAAUUCUACCUACUUACAAAGGUAUUUUAUUUUAUUUAACUUCCGAGUUUGCGAAAUGACGCUUGAUAUUCUAUGUAGCUGGUGGUGAAGUUAUGCACAAUUAUUGCGAGAGCUAUAAAUAACCCUACCGACGUACACAAAUACACACAUACACAUGCAUGGGAUAUUAUUUUCAUAGUAGACUCAGUAUAAUGUAGGAGAAAUUUUUUAUUUGCGUAAGCAGGUUUAUUUGUAGGUAAUCAAGUAAAUAAAAAGAUUUCUAAAGGGGAAAUCUUUUCGGGCAGGAAAAAACUGAGCUGAGUUGGAAAGUUAUGAGUGGAUUGUGAGUUUUUAUAAAAUAAAAGAAAUUAUAAAGUUUUUAUAUAUAAAAGCAUAUCAGACGAAGAAGUAGAGUUUAUUUUGGGCUCUAAAUUGCGUAACGAUUUUCAAAGGAGCCAUAUCAUGACAAAAUUUUGAGAUAUUUAUUUCCUAAAAAAACAAAUGCAUAUUUUUCAAUUCAUUUAAUU
This is a long non-coding RNA of Anastrepha ludens (Mexican fruit fly), 3564 nucleotides long. RefSeq lists it as uncharacterized. The record is from RefSeq and is a predicted model, not a curated record. NCBI's taxonomy places the organism in Eukaryota, Metazoa, Arthropoda, Insecta, Diptera, Tephritidae. The transcript has 4 exons.